Long non-coding RNA from Oncorhynchus tshawytscha (Chinook salmon), 728 nucleotides. The record is from Ensembl. Lineage: Eukaryota; Metazoa; Chordata; Actinopteri; Salmoniformes; Salmonidae.
UACCAGGUGUCCGCCCGGUGUCCUGUGUCGAAAUUAUUGCGUAAUCUUUAGGUCCAUGCGCCGUUCCAUUUCUUCAGAAGAGAAAGUCAACUGCCACGAUGGAUUUAUCGUCGAUAGAUAUGUGAAAAACACCUUGAGGAUUGAUUCUAAACAUCGGUUUGCCAUGUUUCUGUCGAUAUUAUGGAGUUAAUUUGGAAAAAAGUUUGCAUUUUAAUGACUUAAUUUUAGUUUUUUUUCUUACCCAAACGUGAUGAAGAAAACGGAGCGAUUUGUCAACACAAAUAAUCUUUUUGUAAAAACUGAACAUUUGCUAUCUAACUGAGUCUCCUCAUUGAAAACAUCUGAAGUUCUUCAAAGAGGACCUGAGCCCUAGGACCGUGCCCCAGGACUACCUGACAUGAUGACUCCUUGUUGUCCCCAGUCCACCUGACCGUGCUGCUGCUCCAGUUUCAACUGUUCUGCCUUAUUAUUAUUCGACCAUGCUGGUCAUUUAUGAACAUUUGAACGUCUUGGCCAUGUUCUGUUAUAAUCUCUACCCGGCACAGCCAGCAGAGGACUGGCCACCCCACAUGGCCUGGUUCCUCUCUAGGUUUCUUCCUAGGUUUUGGCCUUUUGGCCACCGUGCUUCUACACUUGCAUUGCUUGCUGUUUGGGGUUUUAGGCUGGGUUUCUGUACAGCACUUUGAGAUAUCAGCUGAUGUACGAAGGGCAAUAUAAAUAAAUUUGAU